Molecule: ribosomal RNA, 434 nt
Rfam family: Bacterial small subunit ribosomal RNA
ACGGGAGGCAGCAGUGGGGAAUAUUGCACAAUGGGGGAAACCCUGAUGCAGCGAUGCCGCGUGGAGGAAGAAGGUUUUCGGAUUGUAAACUCCUGUCUUAAGGGACGAUAAUGACGGUACCUUAGGAGGAAGCUCCGGCUAACUACGUGCCAGCAGCCGCGGUAAUACGUAGGUGGCAAGCGUUAUCCGGAUUUACUGGGUGUAAAGGGCGCGUAGGCGGGGAUGCAAGUCAGAUGUGAAAUCUAUGGGCUUAACCCAUAAACUGCAUUUGAAACUGUAUCUCUUGAGUGCUGGAGAGGUAGAUGGAAUUCCUAGUGUAGCGGUGAAAUGCGUAGAUAUUAGGAAGAACACCAGUGGCGAAGGCGAUCUACUGGACAGUAACUGACGCUGAGGCGCGAAAGCGUGGGGAGCAAACAGGAUUAGAUACCCUGGUA